AUUGAAUGCUGGCAGCGUGGAUGAGGCAUGCAAGUCGAACGAAAUAGAGGCAACUCUAUUUAGUGGCGGAAGGGUUAGUAAUACAUGGGUAACUCACCGUAAACUUGGGAAUAACAGUUGGAAACGACUGCUAAUACCGAAUGUGGUGGAGAGUGGCAACACAUCUUUAUUAAAGCGGGGGAUCAGCGAUGACCUUGCGGUUUAUGAGAGGCUCAUGGGAUAUCAGCUUGUUGGUGAGGUAAAGGCUCACCAAGGCUAAGACGUCUAGGCGGAUUGAGAGAUUGACCGCCAACACUGGGACUGAGACACUGCCCAGACACCUACGGGUGGCUGCAGUCGAGAAUCUUUCGCAAUGGGCGAAAGCCUGACGAAGCGACGCUGCGUGAGCGAUGAAGGCCUUCGGGUUGUAAAGCUCUUUCGCCUGAGGACAAGGGAAUCUGGCUAAUAUCCAGAGGACUUGAGGGUACCAGGUAAAGAAGCACCGGCUAACUCCGUGCCAGCCGCCGCCGUAA
RNAcentral lists this ribosomal RNA (512 nucleotides) under uncultured bacterium. RNAcentral describes it as "partial 16S ribosomal RNA". It matches the Rfam family "Bacterial small subunit ribosomal RNA", at positions 30 to 523 of the family's 1533-position model. The record is from RNAcentral.